This 750-nucleotide unclassified non-coding RNA is filed under the name Hevea brasiliensis (rubber tree). Lineage: Eukaryota; Viridiplantae; Streptophyta; Magnoliopsida; Malpighiales; Euphorbiaceae. The record is from RNAcentral.
GGAAUAAACAACAAAGAGGUUCCUUCAUAUAUCUCACUUCCUUCCUUCAAAGCUACUUCCCCUCUCAAGAUGGCAAAUUCUUCAGAUGUUCCAAUAAAAAAGGAUCCAAUUAGGACAAUUAAACCAAAGGAACUUAAUAUCGUAUGGGGAAAUGACACUCGCUAUUGGAAGAUGCAUACUCCUGACGGGCCGGAGAAGGAAGAAGCAGCAGAGCUAAUUCAGGUGUGUUGGCUUGAAGUAACAGCCUCAAUCAAUGAUCAAGAAAUAGUGAAAGGUAGGACCUAUGAGAUUAGGUUUCAUGUAGAGAUGAAAGAAGAAGCUUUUGGGUGGAAUGGGUGUCCUGUUUUUAUGAUGGCAAAGAUAGGGAAGAAUGGAAAAUACAAGUGGAAAAGGAUUAACUUAUCAAACAAUUACGAUAACAGCUUCAAGAAGAAAUAUCCUGAGAUUGCUAUGGAUAUUCAAGUUGUAGAUGAUCGUGACAAAACUCUGUAUUUUGGCUUGUAUGAAGUGUGGACUGGCAGAUGGAAGGGAGGUUUGGCAAUUAAUAAGGUUGAAGUUAGAGCCAUAUGGAAUAAUUCCUAUGUUCCUAUUUUAUAACUGUAAUGUAAUCCAAUAAUUUUGGUGGAUAUUGUAUUUCACCUAAAGGGGCCAAAUAUUAACAAUAAUAUAUUUGGAGGUGUCACAAUUUGCAAUAAUUUAAUGUUUCAAAGUAUUAUUUUUGUUAAUGAAUAUUUUUUUUUUUUAUUAAAA